RNAcentral lists this ribosomal RNA (326 nucleotides) under Salmonella enterica subsp. enterica serovar Oslo. RNAcentral describes it as "partial 23S ribosomal RNA". It matches the Rfam family "Bacterial large subunit ribosomal RNA", at positions 1 to 364 of the family's 2925-position model. The record is from RNAcentral. Lineage: Bacteria; Pseudomonadati; Pseudomonadota; Gammaproteobacteria; Enterobacterales; Enterobacteriaceae.
GUUAAGCGACUAAGCGUACACGGUGGAUGCCCUGGCAGUCAGAGGCGAUGAAGGGCGUGCUAAUCUGCGAUAAGCGCCGGUAAGGUGAUAUGAACCGUUAUAACCGGCGAUACCCGAAUGGGGAAACCCAGUGUGACUCGUCACACUAUCAUUAACUGAAUCCAUAGGUUAAUGAGGCGAACCGGGGGAACUGAAACAUCUAAGUACCCCGAGGAAAAGAAAUCAACCGAGAUUCCCCCAGUAGCGGCGAGCGAACGGGGAGGAGCCCAGAGCCUGAAUCAGCAUGUGUGUUAGUGGAAGCGUCUGGAAAGGCGCGCGAUACAGGG